Regulatory RNA element from Streptomyces sp. M41(2017), 57 nucleotides. It matches the Rfam family "L17-Actino-Proteobacteria ribosomal protein leader". The record is from Rfam. NCBI's taxonomy places the organism in Bacteria, Bacillati, Actinomycetota, Actinomycetes, Kitasatosporales, Streptomycetaceae.
CCGACGGGCAAUCGCCCGCUCGGACACUGACUUCGGUACCUGAUACGGCCGAAGCAG